GCGCUCGCUUCGGCAGCACAUACUCGAAAAUUGGAGCGACACAGAGAGGAUUAGCAUGGCCCCUGCACAAGGAUGACACGCAAACUCGUGAAGCAUUCCAUAUUAUA
This is a small nuclear RNA of Microtus ochrogaster (prairie vole), 107 nucleotides long. The record is from Ensembl. Lineage: Eukaryota; Metazoa; Chordata; Mammalia; Rodentia; Cricetidae.